AUCUUUUUUAUUAUUAAAAAAAAUAUAUAAAAAAUACAUUCAAAGUGUGGGUUUUAAAUAUAAGUUGAUCGCGAAACCUAGCUAAACGCUCGGUUCGCCAAAUCAGUAAUGAUCCUUCCGCAGGUUCACCUACGGAAA
Molecule: unclassified non-coding RNA, 138 nt
Filed under: uncultured fungus
Lineage: Eukaryota; Fungi
Description: sequence contains ITS1
Source: RNAcentral